CUACGGGAGGCUGCAGUGGGGAAUAUUGGACAAUGGGCGAAAGCCUGAUCCAGCCAUGCCGCGUGUGUGAAGAAGGCCUUCGGGUUGUAAAGCACUUUCAGUGGGGAAGAAAGCCUUGGGGCUAAUACCCUCGAGGAAGGACAUCACCCACAGAAGAAGCACCGGCUAACUCCGUGCCAGCGGCCGCGGUAAUACGGAGGGUGCGAGCGUUAAUCGGAAUUACUGGGCGUAAAGCGCGCGUAGGCGGUCUGAUAAGCCGGUUGUGAAAGCCCCGGGCUCAACCUGGGAACGGCAUCCGGAACUGUCAGGCUAGAGUGCAGGAGAGGAAGGUAGAAUUCCCGGUGUAGCGGUGAAAUGCGUAGAGAUCGGGAGGAAUACCAGUGGCGAAGGCGGCCUUCUGGACUGACACUGACGCUGAGGUGCGAAAGCGUGGGUAGCAAACAGGAUUAGAUACCCUAGUAGUC
Molecule: ribosomal RNA, 464 nt
Filed under: Vreelandella stevensii
Lineage: Bacteria; Pseudomonadati; Pseudomonadota; Gammaproteobacteria; Oceanospirillales; Halomonadaceae
Description: partial 16S ribosomal RNA
Rfam family: Bacterial small subunit ribosomal RNA
Source: RNAcentral